This 22-nucleotide ribosomal RNA is filed under the name uncultured fungus. RNAcentral describes it as "partial 18S ribosomal RNA". The record is from RNAcentral. Lineage: Eukaryota; Fungi.
AAGUGCUGCGUUCUUCAUCGAU